GUGUCAGCCGCCGCGGUAAUACGAAGGGGGCUAGCGUUGUUCGGAAUUACUGGGCGUAAAGGGCGCGUAGGCGGCCUGCCAAGUCUGAUGUGAAAUCCCUGGGCUCAACCCGGGAAUGGCACCAGGGACUGGUAGGCUUGAGGACGGGAGAGGAUGGUGGAAUUCCCAGUGUAGAGGUGAAAUUCGUAGAUAUUGGGAAGAACACCGGUGGCGAAGGCGGCCAUCUGGUCCGUUUCUGACGCUGAGGCGCGAAAGCGUGGGGAGCAAACAGGAUUAGAUACCCUGGUAGUCCACGCUGUAAACGAUGCGUGCUAGACGUUGGAAGGCAUGGCCUUUCGGUGUCGUCGCUAACGCAGUAAGCACGCCGCCUGGGGAGUACGGCCGCAAGGUUAAA
RNAcentral lists this ribosomal RNA (394 nucleotides) under uncultured bacterium. Its description in RNAcentral is "bacterial SSU rRNA". It matches the Rfam family "Bacterial small subunit ribosomal RNA", at positions 505 to 898 of the family's 1533-position model. The record is from RNAcentral.